This 400-nucleotide ribosomal RNA is filed under the name uncultured bacterium. RNAcentral describes it as "bacterial SSU rRNA". It matches the Rfam family "Bacterial small subunit ribosomal RNA", at positions 357 to 774 of the family's 1533-position model. The record is from RNAcentral.
GGGAAUAUUGGACAAUGGGGGAAACCCUGAUCCAGCAAUGCCGCGUGAGUGAAGAAGGCCUUAGGGUUGUAAAGCUCUUUCGCCCGCGAAGAUAAUGACGGUAGCGGGAGAAGAAGCCCCGGCUAACUCCGUGCCAGCAGCCGCGGUAAUACGGAGGGGGCUAGCGUUGUUCGGAAUUACUGGGCGUAAAGCGUACGUAGGCGGAUGCGCAAGUUGGGGGUGAAAUCCCGGGGCUUAACCUCGGAAUUGCCCUCAAAACUGCACGUCUUGAGACCGAGAGAGGUAAGGGGAAUUCCGAGUGUAGAGGUGAAAUUCGUAGAUAUUAGGAAGAACACCAGUGGCGAAGGCGCCUUACUGGCUCGGUACUGACGCUGAGGUACGAAAGCGUGGGGAGCAAACA